CCUACGGGAGGCUGCAGUAGGGAAUCUUCCACAAUGGGCGAAAGCCUGAUGGAGCAACGCCGCGUGGGUGAAGAAGGUCUUCGGAUCGUAAAACCCUGUUGUUAGAGAAGAAAGUGCGUGAGAGUAACUGUUCACGUUUCGACGGUAUCUAACCAGAAAGCCACGGCUAACUACGUGCCAGCAGCCGCGGUAAUACGUAGGUGGCAAGCGUUAUCCGGAUUUAUUGGGCGUAAAGGGAACGCAGGUGGUCUUUUAAGUCUGAUGUGAAAGUCUUCGGCUUAACCGGAGUAGUGCAUUGGAAACUGGGAGACUUGAGUACAGAAGAGGGGGGGGGAAUUCGAGGUGUAGCGGUGAAAUGCUUAGAUAUAACGAAGAACCCCGAUGGCGAAAGCAGGUCACUGGUCUGUAACUGACGCUGAGGUUCGAAAGCGUGGGUAGCAAACAGGAUUAGAUACCCGAGUAGUC
Molecule: ribosomal RNA, 465 nt
Filed under: uncultured bacterium
Lineage: Bacteria
Description: partial 16S ribosomal RNA
Rfam family: Bacterial small subunit ribosomal RNA
Source: RNAcentral